Non-coding RNA from Oryza glumipatula, 207 nucleotides. The record is from Rfam. Lineage: Eukaryota; Viridiplantae; Streptophyta; Magnoliopsida; Poales; Poaceae.
AAAAAGGCAAACACUGGGUUUCCGUGCCAACGUUUGACUGUCCGUUUUAUAUGAAAUGUUUUUAUAAUUAGUAUUUUCAUUGUUGUUAGAUGAUAAAACAUAAUUAAUACUUUAUGCGUGACUUAUCUUUUUAUUUUUUUUUCAUAAUUUUUUUUAAAUAAGACGAAUGGUCAAACAUUAGAUACGGAAAUCAGAGUUUGUCUUUUU